This 483-nucleotide ribosomal RNA is filed under the name uncultured bacterium. RNAcentral describes it as "partial 16S ribosomal RNA". It matches the Rfam family "Bacterial small subunit ribosomal RNA", at positions 28 to 507 of the family's 1533-position model. The record is from RNAcentral.
GACGAACGCUGGCGGCGUGCUUAACACAUGCAAGUCGAACGCUGAAGCUCAGCUUUUGUUGGGUGGAUGAGUGGCGAACGGGUGAGUAACACGUGAGUAACCUGCCCCCUUCUUUGGGAUAACGCCCGGAAACGGGUGCUAAUACUGGAUAUUCACUGGUCUUCGCCUGGGGGUUGGUGGAAAGGGUUUUUUUGGUGGGGGAUGGGCUCGCGGCCUAUCUGCUUGUUGGUGGGGUGAUGGCCUACCAAUGCUUUGGCGGGUAGCCGGCCUGAGAGGGUGACCGGUAACAUUGGGACUGUGAUACGGCCCAGGCGCGUACGGGAGGCAGAAGUGGGGGAUAUUGCACAAUGGGCGCAAGAGUGAUGCAGCGACGCCGCGUGAGGGAUGGAGGCCUUCGGGUUGUGAACCUCUUUCGCUCAUGGUGAAGCCGCAACAAUGGUUGUGGUGAGGGUAGUGGGUAAAGAAGCGCCGGCUAACUACGUG